CUCAUGGUUUCACGGUAUUGCAAUGAGAACAAUUUAAAACCCUUAGCGAGAAUCAAGUGGAGGACAAGUCUGGUGCCAGCACCCGCGGUAAUUCCAGCUCCACUAGCGUAUAUUAAAGUUGUUGCAGUUUAAAAGCUCGUAGUUGAACCUCUGUCUGGGGCUAGUUUUGGCUUUGGUCAGGCUAGUUCUAGGCAUCCGCCUACAAGACUUAGAGGGCAUUCAGUUGUUCACUAGGAGGAGUUGGCAUUUUACUUUGAAAAAAUUAGAGUGUUUAAGGCAGGCAAUCGCCCGCAUAUAUUAGCAUGGAAUAAUAGAAUAGGACACUUUUCCAUUUCGUUGGUUAUUGGAAUCGUGUAAUGAUUAAUAGGGACAGUUGUGGGCAUUUGUAUUUAAUUGUCAGAGGUGAAAUUCUUGGAUUUAUUAAAGACAAACUAACGCGAAAGCAUUUGCCAAGGAUGUUUUCAUUAAUCAAGAACGAAAGUUAGGGGAUCAAAGACGAUCAGAUACCGUCCUAGUCUUAACUAUAAACUAUUCCGACUCAAUGUUUGACUGGCUUAUAUAACCAGUUGAGCGUUGUAUGAGAAAUCAAAGUCUUUAGGUUCUGGGGGGAGUAUGGUUGCAAAGCUGAAACUUAAAGGAAUUGACGGAAGAGCACAACCAGGAGUGGAUUCUGCGGCUUAAUUUGACUCAACACGGGGAAACUUACCAGGUUAAAACAAUAGUGGGAUUGACAGUUUGAGAGCGCUUUCUUGAUUGGUUGGGUGGUGGUGCAUGGCCGUUCUUAGUUGGUGGAGUGAUUUGUCUGCUUAAUUGCGUUAACGAACGAGACCUUAACCUGCUUACUAGACUGGCGAUCAUCAAUCGUUAGCUCUUCUUAGAGGGACUUUGGUUGUUUUAACUCCAAGGAAGUUUGAGGCAAUAACAGGUCUGUGAUGCCCUUAGAUAUCCUGGGCCGCACGCGUCAUACAAUGACUAGUUCAGAAAGUUUUCUCCUGACCCGAAAGGGGAUGGGUAAUCUUGAUAAUACUAGUCGUGUUAGGGAUCGAUCUUUGCAAUUAUAGAUCUUGAACGAGGAAUUCCUAGUAAGUGCGGUUCAUCAGACCGUACUGAUUACGUCCCUGCUCUUUGUACACACCGCCCGUCGCUUCUACCGAGUGGGUGGUCCGGUGAGAUAAUUGAACUUCGCAGGUAACUGAGAGGAAAGAUUAUCAAACCUAUCCACCU
RNAcentral lists this ribosomal RNA (1224 nucleotides) under metagenome. Its description in RNAcentral is "SSU rRNA". It matches the Rfam family "Eukaryotic small subunit ribosomal RNA", at positions 493 to 1774 of the family's 1831-position model. The record is from RNAcentral.